UUUCCGUAGGUGAACCUGCGGAAGGAUCAUUACUGAGUGAGGGCCCCUCGGGGUCCAACCUCCCACCCGUGUUUAAUCUACCAUGUUGCUUUGGCAGGCCCGCUUAGAAAUGGGCCGCCGGAGACCUUUGAGUCUCUGGUCAGUGCCUGCCAGUAGCCUUUCUAAAUUCAUUUAUAACCGUGUCUGAAUAUACAAAGAAAAAUUAAAAUAAAACUUUCAACAACGGAUCUCUUGGUUCUG
This 240-nucleotide unclassified non-coding RNA is filed under the name plant metagenome. RNAcentral's name for it is "partial contains small subunit ribosomal RNA, internal transcribed spacer 1, and 5.8S ribosomal RNA". The record is from RNAcentral.